AAAGAAACGGGUCUAGACCCCACACACGCCACUCGGUAAGGAAUUGGGCCUAUAGCUCAGCUGGCUAGAGCACACGACUGAUAAUCGUGAGGUCAGUGGUUCGAGUCCACUUGGGCCCACCAAAUGGGGCUGUAGCUCAGUUGGGAGAGCACCUGCUUUGCAAGCAGGGGGUCACCGGUUCGAGACCGGUCAGCUCCACCACAGGGAUAGAAGGCCCGCAAAGAGCGCGGGCUGGUCGCUGGGGAAGCGGUAGAGAAGGGAUUUAGGGUUUAGUGUGUAGUGCUGAAUAACGCUUUAGGGAUGUAGGAAGUAAGGUGCUAUUGAUCACUGCCCACUCGGAAGAUUGAGUGCGUUAGUUUGUUCUUUGACAGUUGAGGAAGGGAAGGCCAUGUUUGUCAUCUUGCCGAUGGCAGACCUCCAGGUGGAUGCUUGGGGAUAUAU
This 441-nucleotide transfer RNA is filed under the name Acidithiobacillus ferrooxidans. The stretch from base 46 to 119 matches the Rfam family "tRNA". Lineage: Bacteria; Pseudomonadati; Pseudomonadota; Acidithiobacillia; Acidithiobacillales; Acidithiobacillaceae. The record is from RNAcentral.